RNAcentral lists this unclassified non-coding RNA (559 nucleotides) under Hevea brasiliensis (rubber tree). Lineage: Eukaryota; Viridiplantae; Streptophyta; Magnoliopsida; Malpighiales; Euphorbiaceae. The record is from RNAcentral.
UGCCAUUCCAUUGACCCAGCAGUUGAAGUACUACAAGGAAUACCAAACAAAAGUAGUGAACUUGGUAGGAAACGCCAAGGCAGAUGAGAUAUUAUCUGGUGGUAUCCAUCUGUUGAGUGCUGGAAGCAGUGAUUUUAUUCAGAAUUACUAUAUCAAUCCCCUUCUUAAUGGAGUCUACUCAGCUGAUCUCUUCUCCAAUAGACUCAUGCGAUUUUACUCAACUUUCAUUCAGAAUCUCUACGGACUGGGAGCAAGAAGGAUUGGAGUGACAAGCCUACCACCAACCGGGUGUUUGCCUGCAGCUAUUACCCUCUUUGGUGCAGGAAGCAAUCAGUGUGUUGAGAGGUUAAACCGUGAUGCCAUUGCCUUCAACGAGAAAUUAAACAGCACUUCCAAAAGCCUGGCAAACAAUCUACCCGGCCUCAAACUUGUGGUCUUUGAUAUCUAUGAGCCCCUCUUGGAUAUGAUCUUGAAGCCCAGUGAUAACGGGUUAUUUGAGUCGAGAAAGGCUUGCUGUGGAACAGGUACUUUAGAGACAUCAGUUCUCUGCAAUGCAAGG